Long non-coding RNA from Anthonomus grandis grandis, 1321 nucleotides. RefSeq lists it as uncharacterized. NCBI's taxonomy places the organism in Eukaryota, Metazoa, Arthropoda, Insecta, Coleoptera, Curculionidae. The record is from RefSeq and is a predicted model, not a curated record. The transcript has 2 exons.
UUUAAUGUUUACUUAUCAUGUUAAGUAUAUUUGUAUCAAAAUUAAUUAUUACUCUCAGCGAGAAUUAGUAAAUAUGAUUUACGUUAUCGGUGAAUGCCUUGGGAACUGUUUUUUGGCUUCAAGAGUUUAUGCGGAAAAAUUUCUUAAUAACCGACAUCCUGAUGAUAGAGUGUUGAAGAUAUGAAAAGAACGACUCGAGCAUACUAGAAGCGUAGAAUACAAGCAGCAAACUAGAACGAAAACAGUUUUAAAUGAAGAAUACCAAUUAGCAAGUCGGGUGUAGAAACACCGGAAAUUAGUAUAAGACAAAUAAGUAAGAACUUAGAAAUAUCGAAAUUAUCCGUAGGAAAAUGUCUGAAGGAAAAUAAAAUAUCAUCCCUAUCAUGCUCAGAUACAUCACGAAUUGGCCGAAAAUGAUUUUGAAAAAAAAAAGAACUUUUUGUCAAUGGGCACAAAAGCAGCAGAAAACAAGAUUUUUUUUAAUUAACGGCAUAAUUUUCACUUUUACGAUACAGAAAAUUCGCAUCGAGUUGUUGCUAAUAAUUUUCAACACCGAUGGAACAUCAAUGUUUGGGGUGGAAUAGUACAUGAUUUUGUUAUUGGUACAUAAUUUUUUGAAAAUGGUGUAACAGGGGAAGUUAUUCUAAAUUUCUUAAGAGAGGAUUUUCCAUCGUCCCGACUUUGUAGGGCAACAGAUGUGUCUACAGUUGGAUGGUGCACCAGCUGACUUCAGUGCAAAUGUCAGGGAGCAUAUCACGCACCAAUUUGGUAAUAGAUGGAUUGGAAGGCUAGGUCCCAUUGGAUGGCCUCCGGAUUUAACGCCUCUGGAUUUCUUUUUGUGGGGAAAUGUUAAAUCCGAAGUUUAUCGUAUUGUACCCACAACUAGGGAAAAUAUGGUGGAGCGCAUACACGAGUCUUUUAGAUGUAUAACACCUUCCACGCUUCGUGCAGUUAGAAGAAAUUUCGCACGUAGGGUUCAUUUAUGUUUGGAGCAAAAUGGUAGACACUUUGAGCAAUUUUUGUGAUAUAACUCUUUUUAUAAUGUUGUUAAUGUUAUUGGUGAAUUCUUGAUGUAACUGAACUUGAUGGUAGUGAUUUAUUUUUCUUGUGGGAUUUUCCUACGGACGGUUUCUGAAUUUGUAAUUCCUUACCUAUUUCCCUUACCCUAAUUUCCGGAUUUUCUACAACCGACUUGGUAACUGUCAAUUUGAUUUCUUCAUUUAAAACUGUUUUUGUUCUAGUUUGUUUUUUGUACUCUACGCUUCCGGUAUGCUCUAAUCAUUUUCAAGUAAAAAUAAAUGUUGUAAUGCCAAUGGAAAAA